UACGGAGGGUGCGAGCGUUGUCCGGAAUCAUUGGGCGUAAAGGGCGCGUAGGUGGCCCGGUCAGCGUGCGGUGAAAGCUCGGGGCUCAACCCCGAGUCGGCCGUGCGAACUGCUGGGCUGGAGCACUGUAGAGGCAGGCGGAAUUCCGGGUGUAGCGGUGGAAUGCGUAGAGAUCCGGAAGAACACCGGUGGCGAAGGCGGCCUGCUGGGCAGUUGCUGACACUGAGGCGCGACAGCGUGGGGAGCAAACAGG
RNAcentral lists this ribosomal RNA (253 nucleotides) under uncultured bacterium. Its description in RNAcentral is "partial 16S ribosomal RNA". It matches the Rfam family "Bacterial small subunit ribosomal RNA", at positions 524 to 776 of the family's 1533-position model. The record is from RNAcentral.